GAUGAACGCUGGCGGCGUGCCUAAUACAUGCAAGUCGAGUGAACGGACGAGAAGCUUGCUUUUCUGAUGUUAGCGGCGGACGGGUGAGUAACACGUGGAUAACCUACCUAUAAGACUGGGAUAACUUCGGGAAACCGGAGCUAAUACCGGAUAAUAUUUUGAACCGCAUGGUUCAAAAGUGAAAGACGGUCUUGCUGUCACUUAUAGAUGGAUCCGCGCUGCAUUAGCUAGUUGGUAAGAUAACGGCUUACCAAGGCAACGAUGCAUAGCCGACCUGAGAGGGUGAUCGGCCACACUGGAACUGAGACACGGUCCAGACUCCUACGGGAGGCAGCAGUAGGGAAUCUUCCGCAAUGGGCGAAAGCCUGACGGAGCAACGCCGCGUGAGUGAUGAAGGUCUUCGGAUCGUAAAACUCUGUUAUUAGGGAAGAACAUAUGUGUAAGUAACUGUGCACAUCUUGACGGUACCUAAUCAGAAAGCCACGGCUAACUACGUG
This 497-nucleotide ribosomal RNA is filed under the name uncultured bacterium. RNAcentral describes it as "partial 16S ribosomal RNA". It matches the Rfam family "Bacterial small subunit ribosomal RNA", at positions 28 to 507 of the family's 1533-position model. The record is from RNAcentral.